UGGGGAAUAUUGGACAAUGGGCGAAAGCCUGAUCCAGCCAUGCCGCGUGUGUGAAGAAGGUCUUCGGAUUGUAAAGCACUUUAAGUUGGGAGGAAGGGCAGUAAGCGAAUACCUUGCUGUUUUGACGUUACCGACAGAAUAAGCACCGGCUAACUCUGUGCCAGCAGCCGCGGUAAUACAGAGGGUGCAAGCGUUAAUCGGAAUUACUGGGCGUAAAGCGCGCGUAGGUGGUUCGUUAAGUUGAAUGUGAAAGCCCCGGGCUCAACCUGGGAACUGCAUCCAAAACUGGCGAGCUAGAGUAGGGCAGAGGGUGGUGGAAUUUCAUGUUUAGCGGUGAAAUGCGUAGAUAUAGGAAGGAACACCAGUGGCGAAGGCGACCACCUGGGCUCAUACUGACACUGAGGUGCGAAAGCGUGGGGAGCAAACAGG
This 429-nucleotide ribosomal RNA is filed under the name Pseudomonadota bacterium. RNAcentral describes it as "Proteobacteria bacterium partial 16S ribosomal RNA". It matches the Rfam family "Bacterial small subunit ribosomal RNA", at positions 355 to 776 of the family's 1533-position model. The record is from RNAcentral. Lineage: Bacteria; Pseudomonadati; Pseudomonadota.